This is a long non-coding RNA of Papaver somniferum (opium poppy), 1159 nucleotides long. RefSeq lists it as uncharacterized. The record is from RefSeq and is a predicted model, not a curated record. The transcript is spliced from 5 exons. NCBI's taxonomy places the organism in Eukaryota, Viridiplantae, Streptophyta, Magnoliopsida, Ranunculales, Papaveraceae.
AACAUUAUUUUCUCUUGGAUCGAGGUAUGCGGUUCUUCAAUAGCUUUCACUUCUUUCCAACUUUUCUUCUACGUCCAAAGAAUCGUGAAGCUUCCCAAAUUGUACUUCAAAAAAUUCUUUUGAUUUCGUGAAGCUUUAUACCAUUUUCUUCUGUUAAUGAAAUUCGGUACAACGUCAAGGAUUUUGGUAUCACAUCAAUCUGGGAGUCCCAAGGGGUCGUAGGUACAGCUUGAAGCCUCAUGUGUCUAGACUAUCUGAGCUCCUUGGACUCAAGGUUGAAAUGGCAAAGGGUUGUAUCGGGAGAAAGUCCAAGAUUUGAUUAAUGCAAUUCGUGUUGGAGGUGUUGUGCUCCUUGAAAAUGUGAGAUUCUAUAAAAGAGAAUUGAGAAAUGACCCUGAGUUUGCGAGCAAUCUAGCAUCUAUUGCUGACAUUUAUGUUAAUGCUUGUUAAUAAUAGCACACAAAACUGAUUCUUGUGACAACAUCCAUCAUCUCUGUUACAAGGUACAAUAGUAGUACAAUUAAUAAUCAUUUGUGACAACAUCCCAUCAUCUCUGUUUUCGAUUCCUAUGCAUUUCCCACAGCUGCUAUGUUUGAUACUACAGUAAACAAAGGCAACUCUUCCUUGGUGGAAUCAAAAAAGGUCAUGGCACAAAACAUAUCCAAUGAUCAUCCGACACCCAAGGACCAAUCAUGGAUGAUUGUUGCAGUCCUGACUUUGAGUCAAAUACUUUUACCAGGAAGGUGGAUCCUGCAUUGAUGCUCAAUCUUUCGACAAUUUUGGCUGUGAGGAUUGUACAAAUCAGAAUGUGAAUGGAAAAGAAGGGAACAUACUGGUUACCGGAUAUGCAGUGAGUGAUUUGGAAGGUAAAGUAUGUCACCACGGAUUUUGUUCCAAAGAAUGAGCCAAGGUCUUCAUAGAAUAUGUCUAAUGUGUCUAAAAUGCUUCUGCACCAAUCUAGGACCCUCCUCAAGGUGAUGAUUGUUUGUAUUGGUUGGUUGUAGUUGGGUGAUAUGAAAUAAGAAGCGGUUGUAAUCUGUAAAAUAAACUUUGAUUACUAUAGUCACAAAUUAUUAAGAUCAAUUCCAAGCGAAGACUUGAUGAUUUUCAGGACUGUUUGUUAGUUGUUUUUUUUAAGCUUUUACGAGUACUUACGAUA